AGCAGACAAACAAUGUUCGUAACUAUAUUACUGGAUGUGCUUUUCAUGGGUAGGUUUGAUGUGGUGGUAAAUGGUGAAUGCUCUCUAAGUCUUCACAAUAACAAACGAGAGAAUAGGUAGCAGGAUCCUGUGUGCGACAGAGAUAUGUUACUUCUUGAAAAAGUACAUAAACGAGAAUUCUCAACCAGGGACAAUCAGAGGUUGAAUUGGAGCUGAGGUCGUAAGAAGCAUUUGAAAUAUAUCCUC
Papaver somniferum (opium poppy) is the source of this 246-nucleotide long non-coding RNA. RefSeq lists it as uncharacterized. NCBI's taxonomy places the organism in Eukaryota, Viridiplantae, Streptophyta, Magnoliopsida, Ranunculales, Papaveraceae. The transcript has 3 exons. The record is from RefSeq and is a predicted model, not a curated record.